This is a long non-coding RNA of Prionailurus viverrinus (fishing cat), 270 nucleotides long. RefSeq lists it as uncharacterized. NCBI's taxonomy places the organism in Eukaryota, Metazoa, Chordata, Mammalia, Carnivora, Felidae. The transcript has 3 exons. The record is from RefSeq and is a predicted model, not a curated record.
GACCAGACCUGCCGUACCUGGUGAGGCCGGCAGUGAUUAUCCUUGCGCUCUGCAACCUCUCUAGGAAUGGAACCAUUCUGGUUAGCAGGGUAAAAGCUUCUUUGUGACAAGACUUAGACUUCCUCUGGAGACUAUGCUAUUCUUCAAGCAGCAGGCAAUUCAAGAAGGAAGGCAGGAAGGAAGGCCUGGAAGGGCAGAGUCCAGAAGGCAAGCCUUUCUCAUGAGCAGCGGUGGCACUGUGGGGAGCUUGGAUGUCUAAGAAGUUGUACA